RNAcentral lists this long non-coding RNA (319 nucleotides) under Trifolium pratense (red clover). Its description in RNAcentral is "long non-coding RNA (TPRA_LNC007084)". The record is from RNAcentral. Lineage: Eukaryota; Viridiplantae; Streptophyta; Magnoliopsida; Fabales; Fabaceae.
UUCACAUGCAUUCCCCGGGUCACCAAUUCCACGUCAGGAUUAAGGCACUUGAUUUGUUGCACGGCGUUCUCAAAAGCGUACUCAGUGCCCUCUACAAAGUCAUGGGACAGCUGAGCAAUCACCUUGACCAAGUCUGCUCGGGUGGUCAAGCCCUCGGCAGCCUUGUGCUCGUUCUCGCCCGGCGCCAUAGCAGCAGUAAGCCUUUCAAUCUCAGCCCGAGCAGCCUCCAACUCCUCUCCCCUUUUACGGUGCUCAUCCAGCUGGUCACCCCAGCGUUUUUGCUUCUCCUUGAGGUCAUCCACAACAAUUUUAAGCUGGU